GUGCGCUAAUUCCAACGGUACACAGAUCAGUACUGGAAGGAAAAAGAGAAGAUCAGAAUAGCCCCUUCACAAGAACGACGCACAACAUUGUGAACCAUGAUGCAUUUUU
RNAcentral lists this small nuclear RNA (109 nucleotides) under Schistocephalus solidus. The record is from RNAcentral. Lineage: Eukaryota; Metazoa; Platyhelminthes; Cestoda; Diphyllobothriidea; Diphyllobothriidae.